CGUAAUGAGAAUGUGUGCAUUGAAUGGAUUCAGUCGUGUUCAAAUGAUCACUAAACGUUUGUCAUGACAUCUCUCUGCUUGCAUGAUAAAUAUUAUUUUAGAAAUUAAUAAUUAUUUCAGUUUAACACGACAUACUUGUUCAGUGAUAACUACGAAAAAAUAUAUAAAAAGUCAUAACAGUCUUAUCAAGUAACUGUACGAUGUUGUAUCCGAAUGCAGAUAGGAAAAAUUUUGUGAUUGUUACAGAUACAAAUACUGGCUGUUACAUGAAAAUGUAAAUAUGUAAUGUCAUAUAUAAAGUUUUUAAAAUUUACAUAUGUAAUUGUUGCAUAAGGCUAUACAUUAAUACGCGUUUAUUGAUUAAAAAAAAGGCUAUCUAGGUGUAGACGUAAAUAAAACACAAUCUAACAGGUAGAAAAUUAAAUUAGAAACAUCUAAACUUUUCAGGUCGCAGUAAGUGCACCGCUGGUCAUGCACAUCCUUUCCCGGAACAAUACUGAAAGCUAAGGCAAGAUGGAGAAACAGAUGAUCAUAGUUGUACAAGGAUAGCCAUUUUUUAAAUGAAUCUAUUAGCAGAGCUACUGCAAGUGAUUUCCAUUUAUUCUUUGCUGAAACUUCUGCGUCAUCAUGGAGAGCGGGUCAUGGUUGCCCAGCAACAGCAGACGCCACUGGAGCGCAAGCGCAGGCUACAGAGUGCUUUGGAAAUAAGGAGCGCGGCGCGCCUAGCGUUUUCCACACGUUUUCAGUCGCGACAUCAUGCAAAUGUGGUUUUGUUUUGAAGGAUACAUUUUUUAUUUAAUUUUUUUGCUGGACUCGGUCGAGACCAACUAGAAGACUUGGCGAGUCCAAUGGCCAAGUCCGAGACAAGUCCGAGUGCAAAUUCAACGAGUCCGAGACAAGUCCGAGACGACAGAAAAAUGUCUCGAGUCUGGACUCGAGUCCAAGACCGGACUCGAGUACUACAGCCCUAGUUUACUGAAUCAGCUAUCCGCAAUGCAGGGUAUUGGAUUGUUGGUGUUAAGAAGCUUAUCAACAGCAUUGUACACAAGUGCAUCGUAUGCAACAAGCUUCGUGGGAAGGUAACUGAGCAGAAGAUGGCGGACUUGCCCAUCGAUCGCCUGAGCACUGAACCUCCCUUCACGAACGUCGGUCUUGAUGUUUUUGGACCUUGGACAGUUGUUGCAAGGCGCACGCGAGGAGGACAAGCUCACAGCAAAAGAUGGGCUGUUCUUUUCACUUGUAUGAGUAUUCGUGCCAUACAUAUUGAGCUGAUUGACAGUAUGGAUUCAUCCACCUUUAUAAACGCCUUGAGAAGGUUUUUUGCUCUACGAGGUCCUGUCAAACAAAUUCGGUCUGAUUGUGGGACCAAUUUUGUAGGAGCCUGUAAAGAGCUGGAAAUUGUGGUAAAUGAUCCUCAAGAGCCUAGUGUGAGGAAGUACCUGAGUGGAGAGGGUUGUUCAUGGGUCUUCAAUCCACCUCACGCAUCCCACAUGGGAGGAGCCUGGGAGCGGAUGAUAGGAGUCUCCAGGCGCAUACUAGAUUCCAUGCUCCAACAGAUCAGUCCUUCCCGCUUGACACAUGAUGUGUAGUCCACCUUGAUGGCAGAGGUUACAGGAAUCGUCAAUUCAAGACCCCUUGUUCCUAUUUCAACAGACCCAGAUUCACCUUUCUUGUUAACGCCAGCCAUGCUCCUAACUCAAAAGGGUCAUACACUCCUCCCACCUCCAGGUGACUUCAAGGAAACCAAUCUCCAUAGACAGCAAUGGAGAAGGGUGCAACAUCUUGCUAAUACUUUCUGGAAUAGAUGGAGGCGUGAAUACCUCUCAACGCUUCAAAGCCGAAGCAAAUGGCAAGAGGAACAACGAAAUCUAAGAGAGGGUGAUGUUGUCCUUCUUAAGGAUGCUCAAAGUAAGCGCAAUGAAUGGCCUAUGGCUCUUGUGACCAAGACUUUUCCCAGCAGUGACAAAAGAGUCAGAACGGUUGAACUAAGAGUUGCAAGGAAUGGGACAAUCAAGACAUUCCUCAGACCUAUAUCGGAAACCGUUCUGCUCAUGCCGACGGAGGACUGAUAUUUGUGAGGUCUUAUGUGAACAUUCUCAGGUUAUAUGGUGGUAUCUAAACAAUACCAGGCGGGGAGUGUCAUGACAUACAUUUGUUUUUUAUUUACUAGCACCAUCUUGUGGCAGUUUGAUGUUAUAACAAAGAAAUUGAUUAUUGUAAACCAUUUUCUUAGUGGUUGGUUUAGGUCAUGUGACUCUUGGGUUAGAGGUUAACCAGGAAAUAGCCACUGUGUUCCAGUUUCUUUCUGUGUGGUGGGCCAACAAGUCAUCUCUCUGUUUUCUUCACGUUUUUGUGCCUCAGAAAGGCUUUGCCUUUUUACAAAAAAGAGAAAGAAGAGGAAAGAACAAAACAGUAAAACUUUCAACUUUA
Molecule: long non-coding RNA, 2430 nt
Organism: Carassius gibelio (silver crucian carp)
Lineage: Eukaryota; Metazoa; Chordata; Actinopteri; Cypriniformes; Cyprinidae
Exons: 2
Source: RefSeq, a predicted model, not a curated record